Molecule: ribosomal RNA, 466 nt
Filed under: uncultured bacterium
Lineage: Bacteria
Description: partial 16S ribosomal RNA
Rfam family: Bacterial small subunit ribosomal RNA
Source: RNAcentral
CGAACGCUGUCGGCGUGCUUAACACAUGCAAGUCGAACGGAAAGGCCCUGCUUUUGUGGGGUGCUCGCGUGGCGAACGGGUGAGUAACACGUGAGUAACCUGCCCUUGACUUUGGGAUAACUUCAGGAAACUGGGGCUAAUACCGGAUAGGAGCUCCUGCUGCACGGUGGGGGUUGGAAAGUUUCGGCGGUUGGGGAUGGACUCGCGGCUUAUCAGCUUGUUGGUGGGGUAGUGGCUUACCAAGGCUUUGACGGGUAGCCGGCCUGAGAGGGUGACCGGCCACAUUGGGACUGAGAUACGGCCCAGACUCCUACGGGAGGCAGCAGUGGGGAAUAUUGCACAAUGGGCGGAAGCCUGAUGCAGCAACGCCGCGUGCGGGAUGACGGCCUUCGGGUUGUAAACCGCUUUCGCCUGUGACGAAGCGUGAGUGACGGUAAUGGGUAAAGAAGCACCGGCUAACUACGUG